GACGAACGCUGGCGGCGUGCUUAACACAUGCAAGUCGAACGGCCCGGCCCUGCUUUUGUGGGGUGCUCAAUUAGCGAACGGGUGAGUAACACGUGAGUAACCUGCCCUUGACUUUGGGAUAACUACAGGAAACUGGGGCUAAUACCGGAUAGGUGCUCCUGCUGCAUGGUGGGGGUUGGAAAGUUUCGGCGGUUGGGGAUGGACUCGCGGCUAGUCAGCUUGUUGGUGGGGUAGUGGCUUACCAAGGCUUUGCCGGGUAGCCGGCCUGAGAGGGUGACCGGCCACAUUGGGACUGAGAUACGGCCCAGACUACUACGGGAGGCAGCAGUGGGGAAUAGUGUACAAUGGGCGGAAGCCUGAUGCAGCAACGCCGCGUGGGGGAUGACGGCCUUCGGGUUGUAAACCGCUUUCGCCUGUGACGAAGCGUGAGUGACGGUAAUGGGUAAAGAAGCACCGGCUAACUACGUG
This 468-nucleotide ribosomal RNA is filed under the name uncultured bacterium. RNAcentral's name for it is "partial 16S ribosomal RNA". It matches the Rfam family "Bacterial small subunit ribosomal RNA", at positions 28 to 507 of the family's 1533-position model. The record is from RNAcentral.